This 72-nucleotide transfer RNA is filed under the name Dermacentor andersoni. RNAcentral describes it as "transfer RNA tryptophan (anticodon CCA)". It matches the Rfam family "tRNA". Rfam says of the family: Transfer RNA (tRNA) molecules are approximately 80 nucleotides in length. Their secondary structure includes four short double-helical elements and three loops (D, anti-codon, and T loops). Further hydrogen bonds mediate the characteristic L-shaped molecular structure. tRNAs have two regions of fundamental functional importance: the anti-codon, which is responsible for specific mRNA codon recognition, and the 3' end, to which the tRNAs corresponding amino acid is attached (by aminoacyl-tRNA synthetases). tRNAs cope with the degeneracy of the genetic code in two manners: having more than one tRNA (with a specific anti-codon) for a particular amino acid; and 'wobble' base-pairing, i.e. permitting non-standard base-pairing at the 3rd anti-codon position. Lineage: Eukaryota; Metazoa; Arthropoda; Arachnida; Ixodida; Ixodidae. The record is from RNAcentral.
GACUCGGUGGCGUAACGGUAGCGCGUCUGACUCCAGAUCAGAAGGUUGCGUGUUCAAAUCACGUCCGGGUCA